GACGAACGCUGGCGGCGUGCUUAACACAUGCAAGUCGAACGGAAAGGCCCUGCUUUUGUGGGGUGCUCGAGUGGCGAACGGGUGAGUAACACGUGAGUAACCUGCCCUUGACUUUGGGAUAACUUCAGGCAACUGGGGCUAAUACCGGAUAGGAGCUCCUGCUGCAUGGUGGGGGUUGGAAAGUUUCGGCGGUUGGGGAUGGACUCGCGGCUUAUCAGCUUGUUGGUGGGGUAGUGGCUUACCAAGGCUUUGCCGGGUAGCCGGCCUGAGAGGGUGACCGGCCACAGUGGGACUGAGAUACGGCCCAGACUCCUACUGGAGGGAGCAGUGGGGGAUAGUGCACAAUGGGCGGAAGCCUGAUGCAGCAACGCCGCGUGCGGGAUGACGGCCUUCGGGUUGUAAACCGCUUUCGCCUGUGACGAAGCGUGAGUGACGGUAAUGGGUAGAGAAGCACCGGCUAACUACGUG
RNAcentral lists this ribosomal RNA (468 nucleotides) under uncultured bacterium. RNAcentral describes it as "partial 16S ribosomal RNA". It matches the Rfam family "Bacterial small subunit ribosomal RNA", at positions 28 to 507 of the family's 1533-position model. The record is from RNAcentral.